Molecule: long non-coding RNA, 665 nt
Filed under: Cricetulus griseus (Chinese hamster)
Lineage: Eukaryota; Metazoa; Chordata; Mammalia; Rodentia; Cricetidae
Description: lncRNA (ENSCGRG00015031096.1)
Source: RNAcentral
GGGCCUUGAAACAGUGAGCUGUCUUUGUUCGAAAUACAGGUGAACGGCAAUCAUGUGAUUAACACACACACACAUAAAAAGCUUUUUAACAGCGCCCGCCCGGCCUCAGAACCUCCCGGAGAGAAGCCGCCUUGGAUGGACAGAGGGACUGAGCUACAAGCAUCCAGCCAGUCGUGUCCUGGCUCCCCGGCAGCGGUUCCCAACGUCCGCUGCUAUCCGCGCCGGCUGCCCGCCUGCCUGCCUGGCAUCUCUCUCCCGAUCCCCUCCAUAGGACAGGGAAAGGAUGAGGCGAGGGGCCACAAGCAAGGCAUUUACCACCUUUGAACACAGAGGUUCCCUUCAUGAGGGGCUGCAGGGUCACCAUAUGACAAACAGGACACAUCUGCCACAACUGCAAGGCAGGGCUGCUUCCCAAAGGACCAUGUGCCAGUCUCUGUGGUUCCAGAGGAGGUUGCACUUGACAACACUCCAUUAAACAAGAUAGGUCCGUGCAGAACUAUGCCCGAAGAUGCCAUUGCAAUGUGUGUAAUAACAAAAGCUGGCUGUGUCUUAACAUUCAGGAGCACAGGACGGGAACCCAAGGCAGAUCACCUUCACAUAACAGAACACAUUGUGGUGGUAAAAACGACAUUCAUGCAGGAUUUUUUAACGAUGUUGGGAAGUGU